AAAAAUAUCAAAGGUUAGGGGCAAAACAGUCAUUUGGACUGGGGGUGAGAAUUAGAAUUGUGAUGUAUAAUGUGGGGUAUUAAUGAUAUAAUUUUGUUGUUAUAGACUCCGAGGAACAAAUUCCGGAGGUCGAUCGAGGUAAACGAAAGGUUUUGGAAUAACCGAAACACAACUCCGAAACAAAUACAAGGUAAGUUCGGAUAACUUAAAGUGAACCCCUAAUAUGCAUAUUUGUAUGAUUUAUUAAUGCAUGAUGAUUUCAUUUAUUAUUGGCAUGAAAUAUCAUAGAAAUGCAUAUUUGAUGGUAACAUGUGAAAAAUGUCUCGGUUGAGGUUGACAAAGGGAAUUCGAUGGUAACCUGUAAUUACACAUGAUUCGAGGUCCUGCAUGUGUUGCAGUAAGGAUUUAGCCUGGACAGGUAAUCUAUUGAUCUCAAUUAUGAAAAUAAUCUAGCUUGGACGGGUGUUCCCUUAAUGAUCGAGCCUCCCGAAGAAUAUGUGUGCAUUAUGGAUUUAGCCCAAACGGGUAAUCUGAUCAGGGUCUGAAUUUAGCCUGGACUGGUAAUUCAAAUCCAAGCUCAUUAAGGGUGUAUGUCUAUAAGGGAUUUAGCCUGGACUGGUAAUCCCGACAUCACCUUAUGAGUUCAUGAUAUGGGGAAUUUAGCCUAGACUGGUAAUCCUGCCAUAAGAUGUGAGGUUCGCGGGAGUGCAUAUAUGUGAAAUGAUCGUUCGUAAGAAUUAACGGAUAAUGGGUAUUCCAUCGAGAUUUCCUAGAAAGUUAAUGGGAUUAAUAUGAUGUAUGUCAAUAAGAUGAUGAAUGAUGAGCUUAUCUACAUAAAUUACAUGAUGCUUUGUUAUGUAACUAAAUCGUUGAUUGAGUGCAUGUGAUAGGGAAUCAUUUCAUGAUUGAUGAUUUCAUGAUUUAAAUAUGGAUGUAUGAUGAUGUAUGAUUUCAUGAUUGAUGAUUGGAGAGUCGAUACACUAUCAACUAGACAAGCUUUGGUAUAAAGACAUUUCUAUUUUGUUCAAUGGCAUGUAUAGGAUUUUUUGAGUAUUUUGUUAUAUGUGUCAUUUGCUUUGCCAAAUGAAGGCAUGUAAAAAUAUGUUUAUUUCUUUGUUUAUGGCCAUGAAAAUUGGCUUAAUUGAAGUAAGCUAUGACCUACGAAUCUAUGCAUGAUUUUAUUUACAUGUGAUGGGCUGUUACCAAUUGGCAAUGAGUCGCAUGAACGAGCCAAUUUCGAACGAAUUAAAGUGACAUGGGAACCCAUAAACACUAAAUGGGAAAUAACCUUUCAUGUAUGAAACCAAUGAUAUGAGGUUUCCAUACAAUAACGGUACGUUUGGUUCACUGUAAUGGAAUAGGG
Molecule: long non-coding RNA, 1363 nt
Filed under: Gossypium barbadense (sea-island cotton)
Lineage: Eukaryota; Viridiplantae; Streptophyta; Magnoliopsida; Malvales; Malvaceae
Description: long non-coding RNA (GBAR_LNC005550)
Source: RNAcentral